This 488-nucleotide ribosomal RNA is filed under the name uncultured bacterium. Its description in RNAcentral is "bacterial SSU rRNA". It matches the Rfam family "Bacterial small subunit ribosomal RNA", at positions 30 to 504 of the family's 1533-position model. The record is from RNAcentral.
CGAACGCUGGCGGCGUGCUUCAUACAUGCAAGUCGAGCGAGAAAGCCCCUUCGGGGGUGAGUACAGCGGCGAACGGGUGAGUAACACGUGGGUAACCUGCCCCGGAGACUGGGACAACACCCCGAAAGGGGUGCUAAUACCGGAUGACGUGCCACCUGCCAAGUGGGUGUCACCAAAUGGUAGCUUCGGCCUCCGCUCCGGGAGGGGCCCGCGCCGCAUUAGCUUGUUGGUGAGGUAACGGCUCACCAAGGCGACGAUGCGUAGCUGGUCUGAGAGGACGGUCAGCCACACUGGGACUGAGACACGGCCCAGACUCCUACGGGAGGCAGCAGUAGGGAAUCUUGCGCAAUGGGCGAAAGCCUGACGCAGCAACGCCGCGUGAGCGAAGACGGCCUUCGGGUUGUAAAGCUCUGUCAGGAGGGACGAAGCCACUCGGGUGAACAGCCUAGAGGGUGACGGUACCUCCAGAGGAAGCCCCGGCUAACUAC